RNAcentral lists this non-coding RNA (26 nucleotides) under Homo sapiens (human). Lineage: Eukaryota; Metazoa; Chordata; Mammalia; Primates; Hominidae. The record is from RNAcentral.
AUCCUACGCUAUUUCUCUAAGGUCAA